Oncorhynchus keta (chum salmon) is the source of this 2058-nucleotide long non-coding RNA. RefSeq lists it as uncharacterized. The record is from RefSeq and is a predicted model, not a curated record. The transcript is spliced from 6 exons. NCBI's taxonomy places the organism in Eukaryota, Metazoa, Chordata, Actinopteri, Salmoniformes, Salmonidae.
UUAGGAUAGUAGCUGUAAACAAACAGGGUUCUCUCAUUACAUCAGCCCUGUUGUUUAACACACACACACACACACACACACACACACACACACACACACACACACACACACACACACACACACACACACACACACACACACACACACACACACACACACACACACACACACACACACACACACACACACACACACACACACACAGAGUCACUUUAUUUAAGGAGAUUAACCAAGUCAUCCUACGCUUGUCAGCUAGUGCAGGGAGUUGAUAAAAUCCUCUUUCCAAAAAGCCCAUUUCAACUAUAAACCAAUGUAUUAAGAGUAUUCUCUUUUUAAUAUGAGGAAGUAUAUUUGAUUAUACUUGUAUCAGGAAAAAGACUCCAUCUAGCUGUGUACCUGGACUGAUGAUCGAUUGAUGAGAAAGAGAGAGAGAGAGAGAGAGAGAGAGAGAGAGAGAGAGAGAGAGAGAGAGAGAGAGAGAGACAGAGAGAGAGAGAGAGAGAGAGAGAGAGAGAGAGAGAGAGAGAGAGAGAGAGAGAGAGAGAGAGAGAGAGAGAGAGAGAGAGAGAGAGAGAGAGAGAGAGAGAGAGAGAGAGAGAGAGAGAGAGAGACAACACCCCUCUCUCCACAGAGCACUAGCAUGCCAGCUGUAUUUAGUUUAUUAGCAGUAUGACAGUGGUAGGAGUCUCAGCUUAAAGCCACCAACAGCAUAGCCCUAAUUUUAGCCUCCAAAGAGGAUAAGGUUUAAACAGGCCCUGCUGCUAGUAUGGGCCAUAUGGUCGUCUGACGAUAACAUUGUGUCGGGAAUAUUUAUCUUUCCCCUCUAGUUAUUUGUGGUUUCAGCGUUGGUCUGAAGUAGAGUGUGUAUUUAUAUGUAUAAAUGCGCUGAUAAAUGAACGGUUGUGGAGGUAUCUGAGGGGAACUGGGGGUCUAGAUGUUGGACUGGUGACACUAGUGGACUGUCCUGUAGUAAGGUUGGGCGUUAUCUGAGGGGAACUGAGGGUCUAGAUGUUGGACUGGUGACACUAGUGGACUGUCCUGUAGUAAGGUUGGGCGUUAUCUGAGGAGAACUGGGGGUCUAGAUGUUGGACUGGUGACACUAGUGGACUGUCCUGUAGUAAGGUUGGGCGUUAUCUGAGGGGAACUGGGGGUCUAGAUGUUGGACUGGUGACACUAGUGGACUGUCCUGUAGUAAGGUUGGGCGUUAUCUGAGGAGAACUGGGGGUCUAGAUGUUGGACUGGUGACACUAGUGGACUGUCCUGUAGUAAGGUUGGGCGUUAUCUGAGGGGAACUGGGGGUCUAGAUGUUGGACUGGUGACACUAGUGGACUGUCCUGUAGUAAGGUUGGGCGUUAUCUGAGGAGAACUGGGGGUCUAGAUGUUGGACUGGUGACACUAGUGGACUGUCCUGUAGUAAGGUUGGGCGUUAUCUGAGGGGAACUGGGGGUCUAGAUGUUGGACUGGUGACACUAGUGGACUGUCCUGUAGUAAGGUUGGGCGUUAUCUGAGGGGAACUGGGGGUCUAGAUGUUGGACUGGUGACACUAGUGGACUGUCCUGUAGUAAGGUUGGGCGUUAUCUGAGGAGAACUGGGGGUCUAGAUGUUGGACUGGUGACACUAGUGGACUGUCCUGUAGUAAGGUUGGGCGUUAUCUGAGGGGAACUGGGGGUCUAGAUGUUGGACUGGUGACACUAGUGGACUGUCCUGUAGUAAGGUUGGGCGUUAUCUGAGGAGAACUGGGGGUCUAGAUGUUGGACUGGUGACACUAGUGGACUGUCCUGUAGUAAGGUUGGGCGUUAUCUGAGGGGAACUGGGGGUCUAGAUGUUGGACUGGUGACACUAGUGGACUGUCCUGUAGUAAGGUUGGGCGUUAUCUGAGGAGAACUGGGGGUCUAGAUGUUGGACUGGUGACACUAGUGGACUGUCCUGUAGUAAGGUUGGGCGUUAUCUGAGGGGAACUGGGGGUCUAGAUGUUGGACUGGUGACACUAGUGGACUGUCCUGUAGUAAGAUUGGGCGUUAUCUGAGGGGAACUGGGUGUCUAGAUGUUGGACUGGUG